GCCCGACGUGCUAACGUUUCUGCCAGCUCGCCGCUUUAAGUCUGGUGCUUAUUCUAUCGGUCUCUUUUGCUAGCGUACGAGGACGUAAAUAAGCCAACACCGGUUGUCAAUCGGUGAUGAGGGACAAACAUAACGACGCUCAUGUAUAUACGUAUGGCGGUCUUCCACACAGUUUCCGUCUGCUAAAUUCAUUUACAAGUCAUCGACCGACUCGGGGUUAUAAUAGAAGACACUUGCACAAGAUGCCAUGCAGCAGGACUAACCUCGAAACCACGUGGCUGCAAAGCGAUUUCCUUAACCAAAUAGCUGAAUCUUUCGUCAUCGUUUCCGUUAUUAAUUUAUCAGAGUUUUGACAGCCUAUUACAAUUCCUAAGUUAAGUAGAAUCAAUGAAUCAACGAAGAAACCUCAACGCAGUCGCUCGAUCUGUUAAAAAGAGCAACGAGAACACAUAGACACAAAUAUCCAAAUGAAAAAAAAAAAAAAAUAAAGAAAGAAAGAAACACAGAAAAAAUUACAAAAUACUGUACAAAAUACAAAAAGGAAUUAAUAGAAUUUAUUGAAUAUUUUGCUUUGCAAUAAAUGUGUAGUUAUUAUCCCCAGAAAAAAGAAAAAUACAUACGAGUCUAAGAUACGAAGGAUACAAUUUCAACUUAGGUGGUAACAAACCGCGAAAAGCACAAAUAUGCGCAUUUGGUUUAUGCACUAGCCUAAUUUAUAAGCAGCUGGUCUAUGCUAUUGACUUGGGAAGGAAGAUAGGAACAUCUUCUCUGAGGAGCCGCUAGUAAAUCGCGAAACAAUCUGUCGGGAGGUGUUCUCCCUUUUUUCUCUACAUUGAAAGUAUGUACUUGCUGAUUUCACGGUAUCUGACUAUGGACGAACCUAGAUGUAGUUAAUUUUGUGUGUGGCGAGAUGUGUGUAUGCAUAUAUAUAAACGUACAAGCAUGCACGCACAAAAAAGAAAAACCUGUUUGGAAUGUCUACUUAUAGUACAAGUGCAAACUUGUAUUUAAUCUCAAGAUACUGGACAUCUAACAAAUUGUAUUCGCGAUAGGCACGAUAACCGAAUUGAAGAUAACGAGUUUGACCUAAUUUUUUACCAACCUCUCCUCUUCUGAGGAUCAAAUACUAAAACCGACGCAUUAUUUUGGCGGUACCUGCAGUUCUGGCAUCCAAUUCAACCUCCUAUUUUCCACCACUCGUAAAUACGGCCUCGAGAUACUUAAAUUUCUCCACUUGCUUUAGUGAUGUUCCACUAAAAUGCAGAAUGCACUGUGAAGACUUUGUUAUACACAUCUACUUUAUAUUCGUAAAUAGGACAUUCUAAUAAAUGAACUGUAAAAUUUAAUAAACUGUCAGAAAGAACUGAUAAGGCAA
This is a long non-coding RNA of Octopus bimaculoides (California two-spot octopus), 1375 nucleotides long. NCBI's taxonomy places the organism in Eukaryota, Metazoa, Mollusca, Cephalopoda, Octopoda, Octopodidae. The record is from RefSeq and is a predicted model, not a curated record.